UUUUUUUUUGGUGAGUGAUGAUAUUGAAACAAGAUUAUCGAUUGUAUAAAGUUUUAAAUGGAAAUGUCUAAAUACUUGGAUCGAAUAAUCGGCAGGAGGAGGUUAUUCUACGUGCAAAAAGAUCCAUUCUUCGCGAAAUCUUGACGAAAUCACCAAAUCAACGAUGCUCUAUAAAUCCUAACCUAACAAAUCGUGAAAACUUGGUUCGUUUUUUUAAAAAAUCUCUGUUCGGAUCGAAGAGAAACGACAAAACGAAACAGA
Molecule: long non-coding RNA, 261 nt
Organism: Apis dorsata (giant honeybee)
Lineage: Eukaryota; Metazoa; Arthropoda; Insecta; Hymenoptera; Apidae
Exons: 2
Source: RefSeq, a predicted model, not a curated record